GUGGGGUUAAUGCCAUUAUCAGCCAGGGCAGGGGUCUCCAACAGACGAGCCCUCGCCGGCCAGAUGGGGACACUCGUCUGCCGCCCGCCGGGGCCACAAAGGAGGGUCCCCUGGCAGCAGCUGGUCCCGAGGAAGAGGUUAAGGAGCCCUGACGAACGCCACUGGCAUGCCUGGAAGCUGCAGCUCCCUGCUGCGUGCCAGCCCCGGCCGGGGCCGGCGCCCUCCCCCGCCCGUCCCAGCGCCUGUCCUGCAGCUCCAGAGCACGGGAAUUAACACUCCUGGUACCUUGUGAGAGUCAAAUCGAGCUGGGGCCACUCCGUGUGCCGGGCUCCUGGUGCUCACCGUGUGUCCUGGGACAGGAAAGGGCUACAAAGAACUGGAGAAGCCUGGGGGAGCCAAGCCUCCAGUAAAGCCCCAAAACAGCAGCACCCCUGCUUGGGAGACACUGAGACCUCCAAGAACAUCCUGGCAUGUCCCAAUUUCUCAGGCCACAGCUCUUGCCAGGCCCAGCUGUGCGAUGGAGCCAGCAAAUGAUUUCUGUCUUUGAUUAAACCUGAAGCCAAGCCCCCAGUACUUCACCAGUCUGUCAGCCCUGUUUGUCCCUCCUGAUGGACCCCCAGCUCAGGGUGAGCCUCCCAGUUUGGGACCAGGGUCUUAAGGGCACUUUGGAUUCCCUGUUUCCAUUAGAAGACACCACUUGCAGUACUUGUCUGGGGUCUCUAUCCCACAGGAGUUAUCAUAGGAAUAUUAGUUGCUGAAGCAGGGGGUCCCACAGCCAGGCAGAAGUGGUGGCUGUGGGAUGUGCUCUGUGCUGGGCAUCACUGAGCACCAGCCUUGCUGCACUCACAGGGUGAGGCUGCUUCCCCAAAGGAGGUGAAGUCAAAGUGACCUGGAUCUAAGUGAUGCCUUGAAAGGCUACCUGAAACAGAGGCUAGACAGUGUUAAAGGAAUAAAGUAGGAGUUUAAAAAAAGGUCUUCAAAGGAUACACCUUGGGCAGUACAAGAGCCUGGCCAUGACUCCACCCAAGAGGGAGGACGUGUCCUGAGUUUUCACACUUUUAUAAGUUUUGAUCUAUUUCCAUAUUGGGGUUAAUUGUCCAAUUCCAGCUCCAGGUUAUGCAGUCCCAUCCUUUCCCAGACUGCUCUCCUCAAUUCUCUGCUGUUUACACUUUCUGGACCUGAAGCUGCAGUCCUUGGUUCUCGGACUGGAAAAGGAUUGUUUUGUCUGACUGAGCUGUGAGGAGAACUUGCUAACAUUUUAUAUGAAGUUCAGAGUUAUAAACUAAUGCAGUACAGAAUCUGGAAAAUAUGAAAGCUAAACCUUAAGGCAUCACAAGGACCGUGCUGCUUUCUCCAUCCCAGCAGCAGGACGGGAAAGGCAUUGGAACCAUCUGGAAGGCUUCCAUGCAUCCAGGCCAUGCUUAUCAGCAUCCGUGCCUCGGGGCUCAGAGCUGAGAAAUGAAAGGGAACAACCCAAACUGUGCCAUUCUGCUGCACUGAGAGCGGUGUUCAGUGAUCCCACUGCUGGCUCAGAUGGGAAUGGGCCCUUAGAGGCUGGAAUUAUCAAAAGCAGCUCUUGGGAAUGAAAAAAAGCUGGACAAAUUGCUGAUUGCAGCUGC
Molecule: long non-coding RNA, 1619 nt
Filed under: Ficedula albicollis (Collared flycatcher)
Lineage: Eukaryota; Metazoa; Chordata; Aves; Passeriformes; Muscicapidae
Description: lncRNA (ENSFALG00000020351.2)
Source: RNAcentral